RNAcentral lists this ribosomal RNA (462 nucleotides) under uncultured bacterium. Its description in RNAcentral is "partial 16S ribosomal RNA". It matches the Rfam family "Bacterial small subunit ribosomal RNA", at positions 28 to 507 of the family's 1533-position model. The record is from RNAcentral.
GAUAAACGCUGGCGGCGUGCUUAACACAUGCAAGUCGAACGAAGUUUUUCCUUCGGGCGAAACUUAGUGGCGGACGGGUGAGUAACGCGUGGGUAACCUGCCCUGUACAGGGGGACAACAGCUGGAAACGGCUGCUAAUACCGCAUAAGCCCUUAGCACUGCAUGGUGCAUAGGGAAAAGGAGCAAUCCGGUACAGGAUGGACCCGCGUCUGAUUAGCCAGUUGGCAGGGUAACGGCCUACCAAAGCGACGAUCAGUAGCCGAUCUGAGAGGAUGUACGGCCACAGUUGGACUGAGACACGGCCCAGACUCCUACGGGAGGCAGCAGUGGGGAAUAUUGCACAAUGGAGGAAACUCUGAUGCAGCGACGCCGCGUGAGUGAAGAAGUAUUUCGGGAUGUAAAGCUCUAUCAGCAGGGAAGAAAAUGACGGUACCUGACUAAGAAGCACCGGCUAAAUACGUG